GCAGGCCCUCGCCGCGCCCCGCCGGCUCCUCGAAGCGGCCCCGCUCGAGUCCCCCGUCGUCCUCACUGUCGACCUCGUGCUUGAUGUGUGGCGGCGCCGAGCGGAGCUUCUUGCGGGCCACGAGGUGGGGGCGAGGGGGAGGCACGUACUCCAUCCCCGGGUCGAUCAUUCCCUCCGUCUCCAUCUCCUCAUCACCUGGGGACAAGACGAGGUCAGCGAUGGCGUCGCACCGUGACGCUCAUGACACCAACUCACCGUGGAACAGCGCCUGGGGGGGGCAUGGCGUCGGGGAUAAGGUCCGCCUCCGACAGCAGGCUGGGCGUUGCCGAGUGAGAAGCCGGCGUCCCCGGGCCAGAGAAGUCCGGCGAGGGCGAGCUGAUGGAGGAGAAGUCGAUGACCUCGCCCUUCUCCAAGACGAGGUCGGGGCGACGCCCUGCGCCCCCUCCGCCGCGGCCUCCUCCCAGUUUGACCGGCGUGGAGCAGGCACUGCGGUCGGGUUUGUCCGCCUCCGGACGGAGAGUCGGCGGUCGGUUCUGGACGAGCUUCCACCAGCCCGGCUCGCCGAACUCCUGCGCGCCGGAGCGGAAGAAGGCGGGGCUACCGACUGA
Molecule: long non-coding RNA, 608 nt
Organism: Gasterosteus aculeatus (three-spined stickleback)
Lineage: Eukaryota; Metazoa; Chordata; Actinopteri; Perciformes; Gasterosteidae
Source: Ensembl